RNAcentral lists this ribosomal RNA (433 nucleotides) under uncultured bacterium. Its description in RNAcentral is "partial 16S ribosomal RNA". It matches the Rfam family "Bacterial small subunit ribosomal RNA", at positions 29 to 507 of the family's 1533-position model. The record is from RNAcentral.
AACGAACGCUGGCGGCAUGCCUAACACAUGCAAGUCGAACGAGACCUUCGGGUCUAGUGGCGCACGGGUGCGUAACGCGUGGGAACCUGCCCUUAGGUUCGGAAUAACUCCCCGAAAGGGGUGCUAAUACCGGAUAAUGUCUUCGGACCAAAGAUUUAUCGCCUUUGGAUGGGCCCGCGUUGGAUUAGCUAGUUGGUAGGGUAAAAGCCUACCAAGGAGACGAUCCAUAGCUGGUCUGAGAGGAUGAUCAGCCACACUGGGACUGAGACACGGCCCAGACUCCUACGGGAGGCAGCAGUGGGGAAUAUUGGACAAUGGGCGAAAGCCUGAUCCAGCAAUGCCGCGUGAGUGAUGAAGGCCUUAGGGUUGUAAAGCUCUUUUACCCGGGAUGAUAAUGACGGUACCGGGAGAAUAAGCUCCGGCUAACUCCGUG